This 497-nucleotide ribosomal RNA is filed under the name uncultured bacterium. Its description in RNAcentral is "partial 16S ribosomal RNA". It matches the Rfam family "Bacterial small subunit ribosomal RNA", at positions 28 to 507 of the family's 1533-position model. The record is from RNAcentral.
GAUGAACGCUGGCGGCGUGCCUAAUACAUGCAAGUCGAGCGAACAGACGAGGAGCUUGCUCCUCUGACGUUAGCGGCGGACGGGUGAGUAACACGUGGAUAACCUACCUAUAAGACUGGGAUAACUUCGAGAAACCGGAGCUAAUACCGGAUAAUAUAUUGAACCGCAUGGUUCAAUAGUGAAAGACGGUUUUGCUGUCACUUAUAGAUGGAUCCGCGCCGCAUUAGCUAGUUGGUAAGGUAACGGCUUACCAAGGCAACGAUGCGUAGCCGACCUGAGAGGGUGAUCGGCCACACUGGAACUGAGACACGGUCCAGACUCCUACGGGAGGCAGCAGUAGGGAAUCUUCCGCAAAGGGCGAAAGCCUGACGGAGCAACGCCGCGUGAGUGAUGAAGGUCUUCGGAUCGUAAAACUCUGUUAUUAGGGAAGAACAAAUGUGUAAGUAACUAUGCACGUCUUGACGGUACCUAAUCAGAAAGCCACGGCUAACUACGUG